RNAcentral lists this long non-coding RNA (1026 nucleotides) under Zonotrichia albicollis (white-throated sparrow). Its description in RNAcentral is "lncRNA (ENSZALG00000017980.1)". The record is from RNAcentral. Lineage: Eukaryota; Metazoa; Chordata; Aves; Passeriformes; Passerellidae.
UUCAGGAAGCAUUGUAAUAUUUCUGAUGAUUUUUACAUUCUCUGUAGGAUGAAGUGCUCGUGAAAACAGAAGACAUUAGUGUUCACAUAGCUCUGGAGGAGCUGGGAAUAUUUUAGCUGUUUGGACAGAAUCUCUAAAAACAUUUGAUUCUGAAUUGUAUUAAUUAAUUCUCACACAAAUAUUUAUAAAACAAUAAAUUAAGUGAAAUUAUUUGUAAAUAUAUUUUUCAUAGUUUCCUUGGUUAUAUAAUAUCCAUAUUAAUUUCCUUAAUUUUCAUCUGCAAUGCCAGUUGCUUUGGCUGUUUCUGUGUCAAAUAAUUUGUCUUUCUCUUUCUAUCACAUAAACUACAUGAGCAUUUUUGAAAUUGCUGUCCCAUUUAUUCCUUGAUGGGCUAUAAUAGUCCUAAUCAAUAUUGUGUUGGAGUCCAUUUGGCCCACAGUGCUGUCAUUUUUGCAGCAAAUGGGAGUCAUUUGCUGUCUUGCUGUCUCGUACAAAAAUAAAAAAGAGAUUUAUACUUUUUUAUACUUGCAGUUAACUCUGCUUGUUCUUUGUGCAGAAAGAAAAUAAGAAAAAGGAGGGUUUGUUUUUUCACCUUUUUUUUUCCUACUAGAAAGAAGCAAUAUGUUUUCUGCAAAUAUGUUGAAUGGGAAGAGAAAAGCUGAAGAACAUCCUACCUGCAGGACAUCUUCCAAAAAUUUGUCACUGACCUUCUUCCAUCAUUUAAGGGUUCUUGCUUCUCACUGGCAAAAGGAGCCAUUUUCACAAACCUUUUGAAACCAGACUGGCAUGAAAGUUGAGGAGAACUAGCUUAAGGAUCAGUCCCUGAAAUUGAUGAAGAAGAAACAGAAUGGUGACUCAGCUUCUUCCCAUGGAAAUAAAAAGCAGCCAAACAACAAUCCAGCUCCCCCUCAAAAAAAGAAACCAAAACAAAUCUCCACAAGGGAGAUUUCUUCAGAAGGGUACAGGUAUUGUGAGCUAGUUAAAAUUAAGGUCUAAUAUUUUUGUGUCUGCAUCUGGAUGAGAGCA